Molecule: non-coding RNA, 2243 nt
Organism: Paramuricea clavata
Lineage: Eukaryota; Metazoa; Cnidaria; Anthozoa; Malacalcyonacea; Plexauridae
Source: the annotation of a GenBank genome assembly
AUCGAUUUAAUUUUUUUAAAUUGAGGAAAAAAAGUCAUUAUACAAGUAUUAUCUUUUAUGCAAAGUUUUAAAAAAUUUCACCGAAGGGAAUUUUUAAAAUGACCUGGAAGACAAAUUUUGAGCUUUAUUCCAAGCAUGCUGCUGCCAUGACAACAGAUUUUAACACAAAAGUAGCAAUUUGCAAUGUUCAGGAGAACAUUGUCAGUGUGUCCAAUAAAUUUCGUCUUCAUGUCAUGUAAAGUGAAGAAACAGCAGUCUCCUGAAUACUAUACUGUAGUAAAUUAAAAAACCCUAGGGAGCCACCUUAAUUGACAAAUAAUUAACAUGGUUUUACAUACAACUGCACGAUUGCUGCAAAUUGUGUUUCGUUUUCAAUUCAGGUUAUCAAACUACUACGGUUUGUAAAGCUGCUGAAUAGUUCAGUGAACCUCUUAAUGCUUAUAUUAUAUUGGAGUAUCCGCAAAUGACAACAAACUACAACUCGUAGCGAGCUGUAGACAGGAUUAUUGGAUUGCAUGUUAAGAUCUCGGCUAAGUGGGAUGAAAAAAUUCAACACAAACAGUGUUUUCAAGGAUGGCUGAAAUAAGAAUGUCUUAAAAUUAAAGCUUUGUUUAAAGAUAAAAAAUAAUCUAGCUUUUCUUUCUCGCAGAUCCUGCCUGAAGGUCAUGAUUUUGUCAUAUAUAAUUGCUCCUAACUCCCACCUAACCGAGACAAUACCAAUUACUCCAAUACUUGGACCACUGGCAUUUCUAAAUUUAGUUGAUUAUAUUAUAAGCCAAAAUAGUAAAAAAAACCCAUGAAUUUUCAAGCUCAUUUGCUCACAACAGUAGCGAGAUCAUAACCUCGUCUUACCCCAGACAUCCAGUCUCAUUUUUCGUAUGAAAAAGGUUAAUUCAAUUUUCAACUUAAAGGUCAAUUUUCAUUUAAUAAAGGAGGAAAAAUCUUCAAUACCCGGCCUCGUCUCAUCCGCCUCUGAAAUAAAAGUCUUCGCGACUAUACUCGAAACGUGUAAGCUGGAAAUAGUUUUAACCUCACGAGUAAUUUCAAAAUUAGAAAUUAAAAUAAAUUGAAGCACACAAUGGGAACGUUUUCUGGUCCCGUUUUCCUCGGCAUAUGAUAAAAGUUCAAGUGGGAAAAAGAACGCUUGUGGAAGUCGAAAGUAAAGAAGUUGUAAUGAAAGAAGUAAAAACAAGAGAAAAAAAGUUGAAAAUAAAGAAGUUGUAAUGCAUGCAGUUUUACUUGUAGUAGUUUUAUAUUUGCACGCAUAAGGUACAAGUAUAUCUGCGCUAACAUGCAUGCUCAUUGUAAGCUUACGCAAAAUGCAUGGCCCAAACAAACACGACCAUGUUAAUUAUCAACUUCAUGAGGUACAAUACGGCCGGCAGAAACCAGCGCUGGACCUGGCGGAGUGAGAGAAUUCGAAAUAAAGGCGUCAAUUUCCUCAUUGCUUGGAAUGUAAGAUGACCCAAACGGCAAAGAUUUAAUGGAGAAGCAGUGGGGUGAACACCCUUCCCUACCUUUUGUCAAAGGAGGGGAGGGGGUGGGGGGUCCGUAUAUGAAGUUCAUUUUUAGAUCUAGAAAGGCAUUUACAAAAAUAGAAAUAGAAUUAAAGCAUGAUGAGAUAGUAACAUGAUUAUGAAAUUGUUAAGCAAGACCACAGACUGGUGCCUUGCUGUCAUAGCUCAACCAAUCAGAAGCUUUUUCAAUGUCGCACCAUGAGCCAUGGCCGCGUAACUCGAUAAGCAGGCUCUACCUGAGGUUGCUGGAUCCUUCCCUGCUAAAUGUCAAAUCUUCGCACGUAUUCAUCUGACCUUCGAACACUGAUCAAGCCUCUAGCACGCUCUGCAUGUGUUACGAACAAAGUUUUAAAACGCGUGGGGAGCAGGGAGAGGUAGAGGAAUGCAACGUAAUACUUUCUUCCUGUGUUCCUGUUCAUCAACUCUUGAAUACUACUUCUUAUGCAAGAACCGCAGGAACAAUUAUGGAACAACAAACAGGCAUACGGUGAAUGGAUGAAAAUAUACAUACAGGUGUCCACAGUUGAACCUUCAACGCCAUUAAUUAAACACCAUCAACAAGUGCACAAGUGCAGAGUAUCAUACCAGGACAUGACUAAGUUAUGCAUGAGGAAGCUACAGUUAAAAGUCUACAUGUCAUGUGUGGUGCAUUGGCAAAUGUAAUGUGAUUAUUGCUAUAUUGUAGACAUGAACUACAUUUUUUUUUUUUUUUUUUUUUUUUUUUUU